AGCUCCAAUAGCGUAUAUUAAAGUUGUUGCGGUUAAAAAGCUCGUAGUUGGAUUUCUGCUGAGGACAACCGGUCCGCCUUCUGGGUGAGCAUCUGGGAUGGCCUGGGCAUUUUUUUGGAGAGCGUGGCUGCACUUGACUGUGUGGCGCGGUAUGCAAAACUUUUACUUUGAGGAAAUCAGAGUGUUUUGAGCAAGCACACGCCGUGAAUACAUUAGCAUGGAAUAAUACAACAGGGCCUUGGCUCUAUUUUGUUGGUUUCUAGAAUCAAGGCAAUGAUUAAUAGGGAUAAUUGGGGGCAUUUGUACUUAAUUGUCAGAGGUGAAAUUCUUGGAUUUAAUAAAGACAGACCAAUGCGAAAGCACUUGCCAAGGAUGUUU
This 378-nucleotide ribosomal RNA is filed under the name uncultured eukaryote. RNAcentral's name for it is "SSU rRNA". It matches the Rfam family "Eukaryotic small subunit ribosomal RNA", at positions 587 to 969 of the family's 1831-position model. The record is from RNAcentral.